RNAcentral lists this ribosomal RNA (428 nucleotides) under uncultured Paracoccaceae bacterium. RNAcentral's name for it is "bacterial SSU rRNA". It matches the Rfam family "Bacterial small subunit ribosomal RNA", at positions 95 to 558 of the family's 1533-position model. Lineage: Bacteria; Pseudomonadati; Pseudomonadota; Alphaproteobacteria; Rhodobacterales; Paracoccaceae. The record is from RNAcentral.
GCGGCGGACGGGUUAGUAACGCGUGGGAACAUACCCUUUUCUAAGGAAUAGCCUCGGGAAACUGAGAGUAAUACCUUAUACGCCCUUCGGGGGAAAGAUUUAUCGGAGAAGGAUUGGCCCGCGUUAGAUUAGAUAGUUGGUGGGGUAAUGGCCUACCAAGUCUACGAUCUAUAGCUGGUUUUAGAGGAUGAUCAGCAACACUGGGACUGAGACACGGCCCAGACUCCUACGGGAGGCAGCAGUGGGGAAUCUUGGACAAUGGGCGCAAGCCUGAUCCAGCCAUGCCGCGUGAGUGAUGAAGGCCUUAGGGUCGUAAAGCUCUUUCGCCAGGGAUGAUAAUGACAGUACCUGGUAAAGAAACCCCGGCUAACUCCGUGCCAGCAGCCGCGGUAAUACGGAGGGGGUUAGCGGUGUUCGGAAUUACUGGG